CGGGAGGCAGCAGUAGGGAAUUUUCCACAAUGGACGAAAGUCUGAUGGAGCAACGCCGCGUGAACGAUGAAGGCUUUCGGGUCGUAAAGUUCUGUUGUUAGGGAAGAAACAGUGCUAUUUAAAUAAGGUAGCACCUUGACGGUACCUAACGAGAAAGCCACGGCUAACUACGUGCCAGCAGCCGCGGUAAUACGUAGGUGGCAAGCGUUGUCCGGAAUUAUUGGGCGUAAAGCGCGCGCAGGUGGCUAUGUAAGUCU
RNAcentral lists this ribosomal RNA (257 nucleotides) under Brevibacillus laterosporus. RNAcentral describes it as "partial 16S ribosomal RNA". It matches the Rfam family "Bacterial small subunit ribosomal RNA", at positions 342 to 590 of the family's 1533-position model. The record is from RNAcentral. RNAcentral also lists the same sequence under 1 other name. Lineage: Bacteria; Bacillati; Bacillota; Bacilli; Caryophanales; Paenibacillaceae.